RNAcentral lists this ribosomal RNA (440 nucleotides) under uncultured bacterium. Its description in RNAcentral is "partial 16S ribosomal RNA". It matches the Rfam family "Bacterial small subunit ribosomal RNA", at positions 338 to 795 of the family's 1533-position model. The record is from RNAcentral.
CCUACGUGGUGCAGCAGUGGGGAAUAUUGCACAAUGGGGGAAACCCUGAUGCAGCGACGCCGCGUGAGUGAAGACGUAAUUCGUUACGUAAAGCUCUAUCAGCAGGGAAGUAAAUGACGGUACCUGAGUAGGAAGCCCCGGCUAACUACGUGCCAGCAGCCGAGGUAAUACGUAGGGGGCGAGCGUUAUCCGGAUUUACUGGGUGUAAAGGGAGCGUAGACGGUGGGCCAAGUCUGGAGUGAAUUGCCGAAGGUUAACUGCGGAACUGCUUUGGAAACUGGCGAACUAGAGAGCAGGGGGGGUAAGCGGAAUGCCUAGUGUAGCGGUGAAAUGCGUAGAUAUUAGGAGGAACACCGAUUGCGAAGGCGGCUUACUGGACCGUAACUGACGUUGAGGCUCGAAAGCGUGGGGAGCAAACAGGAUUAGAUACCCGUGUAGUC